Molecule: ribosomal RNA, 468 nt
Filed under: uncultured bacterium
Lineage: Bacteria
Description: partial 16S ribosomal RNA
Rfam family: Bacterial small subunit ribosomal RNA
Source: RNAcentral
GACGAACGCUGGCGGCGUGCUUAACACAUGCAAGUCGAACGGAAAGGCCCUGCUUUUGUGGGGUGCUCGAGUGGCGAACGGGUGAGUAACACGUGAGUAACCUGCCCUUGACUUUGGGAUAACUUCAGGAAACUGGGGCUAAUACCGGAUAGGAGCUCCUGUUGCAUGGUGGGGGUUGGAAAGUUUCGGCGGUUGGGGAUGGACUGGCGGCUUAUCAGCUUGUUGGUGGGGUAGUGGCUUACCAAGGCAUUGACUGGUACCCGGCAUGAGAGCGUGACCGGCCACAUGAGGACUAAGAUACGCCCCAGACUCCUACGGGGGACAGCAGUGGAGAGUAUUACACAAUGGUCGGAAGCCGGAUACGGCGACGCCGCGUGCGGGAAGCCGGCCUUCGGGGUGUGAACCGCUUUCGCCUGUGACGAAGCGUUAGUGACGGUAAUGGGUAAAGAAGCACCGGCUAACUACGUG